ACGGGAGGCAGCAGUGGGGAAUAUUGGGCAAUGGGGGCAACCCUGACCCAGCGACGCCGCGUGAGGGAAGAAGGUUUUCGGAUUGUAAACCUCUGUCUUUGGUGACGAUAAUGACGGUAACCAUGGAGGAAGCCACGGCUAACUACGUGCCAGCAGCCGCGGUAAUACGUAGGUGGCAAGCGUUGUCCGGAAUUACUGGGUGUAAAGGGAGCGCAGGCGGGACUGCAAGUUGGAUGUGAAAUACCGGAGCUCAACUCCGGGGCUGCAUCCAAAACUGUAGUUCUUGAGUGGAGUAGAGGUAAGCGGAAUUCCGAGUGUAGCGGUGAAAUGCGUAGAUAUUCGGAGGAACACCAGUGGCGAAGGCGGCUUACUGGGCUCUAACUGACGCUGAGGCUCGAAAGCGUGGGGAGCAAACAGGAUUAGAUACCCUGGUA
This is a ribosomal RNA of 434 nucleotides. It matches the Rfam family "Bacterial small subunit ribosomal RNA", at positions 341 to 792 of the family's 1533-position model.